ACUAACAGGAUUCCCCUAGUAACUGCGAGUGAAGCGGGAAAAGCUCAAAUUUAAAAUCUGGUAGGUCUUUGGCUGCCCGAGUUGUAAUCUAGAGAAGCGUUAUCCGCGCUGGACCGUGUACAAGUCUCCUGGAACGGAGCGUCAUAGAGGGUGAGAAUCCCGUCUUUGACACGGACUACCAGGGCUUUGUGAUGUGCUCUCAAAGAGUCGAGUUGUUUGGGAAUGCAGCUCUAAAUGGGUGGUAAAUUCCAUCUAAAGCUAAAUAUUGGCGAGAGACCGAUAGCGAACAAGUACCGUGAGGGAAAGAUGAAAAGAACUUUGGAAAGAGAGUUAAACAGUACGUGAAAUUGUUGAAAGGGAAACGCUUGAAGUCAGUCGCGUUUGCCGGGGAUCAACCUUGCUUCUUGCUUGGCUUACUUCCKGGU
RNAcentral lists this ribosomal RNA (425 nucleotides) under Tephrocybe rancida. RNAcentral's name for it is "LSU rRNA". It matches the Rfam family "Eukaryotic large subunit ribosomal RNA", at positions 64 to 490 of the family's 3401-position model. The record is from RNAcentral. Lineage: Eukaryota; Fungi; Basidiomycota; Agaricomycetes; Agaricales; Lyophyllaceae.